This is a non-coding RNA of Camellia sinensis, 5094 nucleotides long. Lineage: Eukaryota; Viridiplantae; Streptophyta; Magnoliopsida; Ericales; Theaceae. The record is from RefSeq and is a predicted model, not a curated record.
AAAUUUACAUUAGAUGGUGUAGUCCUGCUUCCUUUUUGUAAGGGUAAAAAAUGGUGGGAGUGUUUCUUUUUGGAAAGAUACUUAGCUUGGGGAUUCUUCUCUUGAUGUGUUGUUCCCACAUUUGUACCAUUUGGUCUGUUCUCAUAAUGUUCCAUCGCAUCUAUAGUGCUUUCCCAAUCGGCACUGAUUUCAUGAAAUUUCAAUUUUUUUUUUAUAGAAAUAUUAAUGAUCAUGAAUCGAUUGAGUUGGCAACUUGGCAUCCUUAUUGAACAUCCUUUAAGGUUUCUCCGUGAGACCCAAUGUCAAUGACAAAUGGGUUUGGUCACUUAAUUCUUCGGAAAUCUUCUCAGGCAAACCGUUUUUCAACAAGAUCAUUGGUAAUCACAAUGCUCAUCCUUUUCUCCAUCGUUCUAGGAUUUGGAACAAUUUGAAGCAAAUCGUUAAGGUUUUUGUGUGGACUUGGCUCACAGGAGUCUCAUGACCAAUUACAUAUUUCAAAACUAGGCUUUGUGGAAUUUUGUCUUUUGUUUUGUUCAUGGAUAUUUGGUUGGAGCACAUUGCUAGAAUCUUUGAGGACAAAUUUAAGGACAUUGAUUCUCUUUGGGAUAGAUUGUUUUUUAUCCUCAUUUGGGGCUUUGCUUUCUUUUCCUUUUAAGGGGAUUCAAUUAUAUUUGUUUUUUAGAAUCAGUGGGCGGUAUGUCAUCAGUGGUCUAUAAUCUUGAUGAAUUUUGCUCUUUUUAUUUAUUUUUUCUUUUUUUGAUUCUUUUGGUGGACUUUUUGUUUCCCACUUUCUUGUAAUUUUCUUUAUUUAUGCUUAUUAAUAUAUUAUUUUUGUUUCUGAUAAAAAAAGAUCCUGUAAUAGGCAUUUUGAUAAACACUUCCCAUUUGAUUUACUGAAGUCAGUUCCUGACAAAAAUAUUUGUGUUUUAUUGAGUUACCUCACUUUUAACUUGUAGCUAGCUGCAAAGAAAAACUUUCUAGGAACACUCUCCAUUAGUUUAAAGGGAAUUUAAUUCUUGUCACAAAAGUAGUGCUUUAGUGAGUGACCUUAGUUUCAACUUAUUGCUAAUGAUAUGAUAUACUUCAAAGAAAUCUUUUCCAGGUACAUUGAGUGUUCUGUUAAUGUAAGAAACUUUUUGUUGGACUGAGUGGGAGAUUUUUUACUACCUUUGUUAAGGACGUAGAGAGGCACAUGUACAAUACUAGUUUCUUGUUGAUGUUCUUCCUUUCUUUUUUAGAAAGUGAAAUUUUAUUGCAAUGGUUGGGUUAAGAAUUUUUGUAUACUAUAUUUUGACCAUGCAUCUCCAGGUGUUACCUGAGUAACUUGAGUAGCCCUUUAAUCUUAUUGUUUCUUAAUGCUUCUGGUCUCUGGAACUGUCCACUUGCUUGUAAUAUUUCGUCAAUAAAUUCUUGUAGAAUUCAAUUACCGUCCAUCUUCAUCUAAUAAUUUUGAUGUGUUAGCAUCGUGUAAUUCAAAAAAGGUGGAGAAAACAAACAAGGCGGAGUGUAAGCAAUAGGAGAAGGUGUAUUCCAAAGGUUUGCACAACCUGGGGGAUGUGAAUGAAAGGGAAAUGAUGAGCACCUGAUGUAGGAUGAGUAGGGAUUACUUUACUACAAGUAGUGAGCCCGACUUAAAUAUACUGGUAGCAGUAAUUAUAGGCUUAUAGGGUUGGAUUUGGUAGGAUUUUGUGGCUGCAAAUGUAUUUUAAAAAAUAGGAGUUUAAGGGUUUAUGAAAGGGUAGGGUUUUGGGAAUGAAAACAUGAGUGUAGGGGCUGGCAGGUGGCUGUUCUGAGCACUGUGAACAGUAAUCUUGCUGGAUAGAAGAGGUGGAGAGAGAGAGGUGCUUCACCCUCACAAGGGAUAGGCCAAUCACACAAACACAAUAUCAAAAUUUCAUAAUAUUAACUCUGUAUUGGCUAAAGACUCCUAAUUUUAUAAGGACUAUUUCUCAAAUUUAGAAACUAAAAAUAUUUAGCAACUACUAAUAUUCUAGACCAAUUAUGACUUCCAAUUCUACUUCAAUCAUAAUAGGAAACUCUAAUGACUUCUAAUUCUGCUUCAAUAUCAAAAUAGGAAAUUUUGACUUUUGACUUUUGACUACUAAGAUUAUUUUAGACAUAAUAAAGCCCAUAUAUAAUAACCCAUUUAAUAAUUUAACCCAAAAUAAAAUCCAUGGGUGACCCCUACAACCCAUGUCCAACAAUUAUUGGAAUUACCGUUAUACCCUUAAUUACUAAAACCUACUAUAAUGACAUGAAAAUUCAAAAUUAUUCCAAAUCUUUAACUCUUGAUGCACUAAAUGUGUUUCAUGUGAAAUUCUAGAUUUGCUCUUUUUCUUCUUUCCAUGGUCUUCAUCAGCACCCCUUCAAGGGAGGAGACUUUGGAUGGGCUGCCCUUUCUCAAAGUGUGGCAACUUUGGAUGGGCCUGCCCUUUCUCAAAGUGUGGCUUCUAAAGAUGUGUCUUCUACUCCUAGAGAAAAGGAAAUCAAGAAUACUAAAAGAAAUAUGCACUGCAUUCUUUGUUCUAGAGAUGAGACCAAGAGGAAGCUCGACAAGAACAUUCUUAAUCUAAAGCUUGCAUGGGCAAAAUCCUUUGCUAAAUUGUCUACCAAUCCUAAGCACUUUAUUGUGAAAUUCCAAGAAAAUGUGGGAUAGUGGUUUUCUUUCUUUUUAUGUUUUGUUUUUGUGUCUAGCUUCUCGGGUUGUGAGAAGUGUGUUUUGUGCACCUUUUUUUGGGUCGUGAGAGGCUUGUUUCUCAGUGGUUUGGGUUUGAGUGUCCUUUGUGUCUAUUCUUCUCGGGUUGUGAGGGGCUUUCCUUUCUAGGUUAGGUCCUUUGUGUGUGCCUUUGUAGCAAGGUGGCCUCUUGGCAGUGUUUUGAGUUCUGUUGUAUAUUCUUCUGUUUUGGGUACUUUCUUUUUUUGUAGUAAAAGCUUACUAAAAAAAUGGUUUUGGCUGCUCAUUGGAAAGUACAAUCCUAUCAUUAAUGAGUACAAAUCUAUUUGCAGCUGGCUUGAUUAGAACCAUAGGGCGCCAAAGAGGUUGACCUUUGAAAUUGACCCUUGUUCUGUAUUCUCAUUUGUAGCCACUGUUCCUUGGGUUGUUUAGUGCUCUCAGGAAGUUGAGGCUUUGGCCUAGAAAGUGGAUCCCAAUUAAAACAGAGGGCGGCAAGUAGAAGAGCUGGAGAAGGUGGCGAAGCAGAAAAGUGAACAAAUUGCAUCACUCAUGGUGGAUACCAUAAAUCAAAGAAAAAAAGCUUUUAGAGUACCAAAACAUGAAAGAAUCGUCAAUGCAGGAAAGCUUACAUGUGAACUGGGUCACCAAGUAAUGAAUUAUAGCUAGUGUUUCAAUUCUGGCAAACUCAUACCCAGGACGCAUUCUUGGUCCUCCUCCGAAUGCCACAAAGCAGUAAGGAGGGGCUGGUGCUUGUUUCUCAAAGCGUGUUGGAUUUGGGAAAAUUGUCUCAUCCAUUGAAUAGAAGCUCAACGAUGAAGAGAUGUAUAUCUUCCCUCUCUUUGAUCAGAUCUGCUUUCUCUCUGAUCUGCUAAUAUGGUAAUAUCAGAUCUACUCUGUCUCUCUCUAGUAUAUUAUUUUGCCUUUUUUAGGAAUCUCAUUCUGGCAUUUUCUUGCUUUCUGACUCUCCUAAUAAUCGUUUCAGUGUAGUUCCCAUUUAAAUUGAUAAAACUACUAUAUGUAGAUGAUAUGGCCUUUUAUUUUGUGAAGCUACAAGAGAUUAUCUUAAAAAGAUCAUUCUGCAUCUUAAAGUGUUUUGUGGUUUCUAACAUUGGUCAUUCAACUCUUGUUUUAUUUUUUAUUUUUUGUUGAGUUACCUAGAUCAUGGUUCCAUCAAAAAGGGGGGAAAAGACACCCUUUGGUGGCCUAAAGUUUAUUCUAUUUAAUCUUGUUACUUCUGCAGCCCAUAUAAUAUGCUUUAUGCUUGUCACUAGUAUAUUUUGAUACAAUUCAUGCUUGGGAGUUUAUACAAUGUAGCCGACCCCAUUUAAUGGGACUUAAGGCUUGGUUUGGUUUGGUUUUGGUUAACAAAAUAUCAAAUUUCAGAAAGUAUAUUCGUUGAAAUUUUUGAAAAUGGGAAGUAUGAAGAUGGCCAAUCAAAUAAAAAAAGGGUCAUAUGUUUGAGGUGUAUUUAUUCUGGACAGCUAUAUUCAUGAUUGUUAGAUAUACAAUAUUUGAUUUUUUUGUUGAAUGUAAGGUAGAGCAAUGAUAUUCACACUCCACUUGUGAGAGGCUAAAAGACAAAAAAUAGAGUGAAAAGUUUAAAAGAGAAUGGGAAUAUCAUUUCUAUUAAUGCUUUACUGAAUAGGAUGAAGAUGGUUGGUUUUUAUUGUAUUGCAUACUCACUCAUACUUUGUUCCAAUGCCUAUUUUUCUUUCAGCUUGAGAUCCAAAGUAAUUUGGCGAUGUGGAGAAGAAAAAUAAUGUUCAGUGUGACUGCUAGGUUAAUAACCAAACAUGUGGUUGGACUUGGCCUUGGGAGAGGGUUGCUUUCUUUCUUUUUCUUUCAGGUGUCUCCCAAAUCUCCAAAAAACCCACAAAUCCCUAAAACGCUCAGGUUCAAGUUCUCAACAAGUUUUCUAAUUAUGGGUGUUGUGAAGAUAGUGUCAACAAACGGAUUUCUGCUGGUUGCAAAGUAAAGAUUUGGAUUGCAGAUUGGUUUGCACAGUUGAACAACAAAAUAGGGGGAUGAUUUGAAGAAAAUUCAGAUUGUUGGACAGUACACGAUUGAGAUUUGGAAAGUUGUAAGGUUAAAUCUCAAAGGAGAUAACGUUGAAAGGAGGCCUUUUUUCUAAAAAAAACACCACUAAAUGAUGUCAUCUUGACAUUAUAUCCGAGGCAAGUACAAAAAUGAAGAGAGGUAGUGUUUUUUGGAAAAAUGUCACUAAAUGAUGUCAUCAUUACAUCAUACGUUAAUUGUGACGGAAAAGUAAGUGGAUUUUUGUGAUGUUUUUAAAACACUGCUAAGUUAUUGCGGCAGUCGUAUGUGUGACAAAAAUAUCAAACAUUGUAAAAACCUAUUGCGGAAUUUUUCAAGCCUAUAGUGGCAUUUUUGAAACGCCGGUAAAAAUCAAUUUUCCUACA